RNAcentral lists this ribosomal RNA (451 nucleotides) under uncultured bacterium. RNAcentral describes it as "bacterial SSU rRNA". It matches the Rfam family "Bacterial small subunit ribosomal RNA", at positions 29 to 524 of the family's 1533-position model. The record is from RNAcentral.
AACGAACGCUGGCGGCAUGCCCAACACAUGCAAGUCGAACGAAGCCUUCGGGCUUAGUGGCGCACGGGUGCGUAACGCGUGGGAAUCUGCCCUUGGGUUCGGAAUAACAGUUAGAAAUGACUGCUAAUACCGAAUGAUGUCUUCGGACCAAAGAUUUAUCGCCCAAGGAUGAGCCCGCGUCGGAUUAGCUAGUUGGUGAGGUAAAGGCUCACCAAGGCGACGAUCCGUAGCUGGUCUGAGAGGAUGAUCAGCCACACUGGGACUGAGACACGGCCCAGACUCCUACGGGAGGCAGCAGUGGGGAAUAUUGGACAAUGGGCGAAAGCCUGAUCCAGCAAUGCCGCGUGAGUGAUGAAGGCCUUAGGGGUUGUAAAGCUCUUUUACCCGGGAUGAUAAUGACAGUACCGGGAGAAUAAGCCCCGGCUAACUCCGUGCCAGCAGCCGCGGUAAU